Long non-coding RNA from Oncorhynchus tshawytscha (Chinook salmon), 953 nucleotides. The record is from Ensembl. NCBI's taxonomy places the organism in Eukaryota, Metazoa, Chordata, Actinopteri, Salmoniformes, Salmonidae.
CAGGGUGCAAGGUGUUCUAUCACGGGUGCAGGGUGUUUUAUCACGGGUACAAGGUGUUCUAUCACGGUUGCAGGGUGCAGGGUGUUCUAUCAUGGGUGCAGGGUGUUCUAUCACGGGUGCAGGGUGCAGGGUGUUUUAUCACGGGUGCAGGGUGUUCUAUCAUGGGUGCAGGGUGCAGGGUGUUUUAUCACGGGUACAAGGUGUUCUAUCACGGUUGCAGGGUGCAGGGUGUUCUAUCAUGGGUGCAGGGUGUUUUAUCACGGGUACAGGGUGUUCUAUCACGGGUGCAGGGUGCAGGGUGUUUUAUCACGGGUGCAGGGUGUUCUAUCAUGGGUGCAGGGUGCAGGGUGUUUUAUCACGGGUACAGGGUGUUCUAUCACGGGUACAAGGUUUUCUAUCAUGGGUGCAGGGUGUUCUAUCACGGGUACAAGGUGUUCUAUCACGGGUACAAGGUGUUCUAUCACGGGUACAGGGUGUUCUAUCACGGGUGCAGGGUGCAGGGUGUUCUAUCAUGGGUGCAGGGUGCAGGGUGUUUUAUCACGGGUACAGGGUGUUCUAUCACGGGUGCAGGGUGUUCUAUCAUGGGUACAAGGUGUUCUAUCACGGGUACAAGGUGUUCUAUCACGGGUACAGGGUGUUCUAUCAUGGGUGCAGGGUGCAGGGUGUUCUAUCAUGGGUGUAGGGUGCAGGGUGUUUUAUCACGGGUACAAGGUGUUCUAUCAUGGGUGCAGGGUGCAGGGUGUUUUAUCACGGGUACAGGGUGUUCUAUCACGGGUACAAGGUUUUCUAUCAUGGGUGCAGGGUGUUCUAUCAUGGGUACAAGGUGUUCUAUCAUGGGUGCAGGGUGCAGGGUGUUUUAUCACGGGUGCUGGGUGUUUUAUCACGGGUACAGGGUGUUCUAUCACAGGUGCAGGGUGUUCUAUCAUGGGUGCAGGGUGUUCUAUCAUGGGUGC